UGCCGGAUCUUAGUUCCCUGACCAGGGAUUGAACCCAUUGCCCCCUGCAGUGGAAAAGCGGAAUCUUAACCACUGGACCGCCAGGGAAGUCCCAAGAUUUUCUAAGACUAAAGGAGAUCGCUGUUAUGGAUUAAAUGUUUGUGACCCACCCCCCCUGAAAACUCAUAUACUGAAGCCCUCACCACCCAGUGUGACUAGGAAAAGCCAUGUGAAGACACAGAGAGAAGGCAGCCGUCUACAAGCCAUGAGAGUCCUCACCGGGAAGCAAAUCAGCUGGCACCUUAACCUUGAACUUCCAGCCUCCAGAACUGUGAGAAAUCAAUGUCUGUUGUUGAAGACACCCAGUCUGCAGUACUUUGUUAUGGCAGCCCGAGUGGACAAAUAAGCCUCUCUGUUCCUCCCAAGCCGCGUCUGCCCGUGGCAGCUUGGUCUCAGACUUCUGCUAGUGCAUGACACAUAUGCAUAGGACAUGCUUUCCCCCCUCCCAACCCUGGCCCCUUUCUAAUAGCAGGUUUCCCCAGCAACCAACUUUCCAGGCAGUCCAUUCCCUUUCCUCUUUUUUUUUUUUCCCUUCAAUUUAUUUAUUUUAUUUAUUUAUUUUUGGCUGUGUUGGGUCUUCGUUGCUGUGCACGGGCUUUCUCUAGUUGCAGUGAGCAGGGACUACUCUUUGUUGCGGUGCGUGGGGUUCUCAUCGCGGUGGCU
Molecule: long non-coding RNA, 702 nt
Organism: Physeter macrocephalus (sperm whale)
Lineage: Eukaryota; Metazoa; Chordata; Mammalia; Artiodactyla; Physeteridae
Exons: 3
Source: RefSeq, a predicted model, not a curated record